RNAcentral lists this transfer RNA (71 nucleotides) under Loxodonta africana (African savanna elephant). It matches the Rfam family "tRNA". From Rfam's summary of the family: Transfer RNA (tRNA) molecules are approximately 80 nucleotides in length. Their secondary structure includes four short double-helical elements and three loops (D, anti-codon, and T loops). The record is from Rfam by way of RNAcentral. Lineage: Eukaryota; Metazoa; Chordata; Mammalia; Proboscidea; Elephantidae.
GCAUUGAUGAUUCAGUGGUAGAAUUCUCACUUUCCAUGCAGGAGACCCAGGUUCAAUUCCCGGCCAAUGCA